This 292-nucleotide ribosomal RNA is filed under the name uncultured bacterium. RNAcentral describes it as "partial 16S ribosomal RNA". It matches the Rfam family "Bacterial small subunit ribosomal RNA", at positions 505 to 796 of the family's 1533-position model. The record is from RNAcentral.
GUGCCAGCCGCCGCGGUAAUACGUAGGGUGCUAGCGUUGUUCGGAAUCAUUGGGCGUAAAGCGCGUGUAGGUGGUCAGUAAAGUUGGGUGUGAAAUCCCUCGGCUCAACCGAGGAAGUGCACUCAAAACUAACUGGCUUGAGAGUGGUAGAGGAAGGUGGAAUUCCUAGUGUAGAGGUGAAAUUCGUAGAUAUUAGGAGGAAUACCGGAGGCGAAGGCGGCCUUCUGGACCAUUUCUGACACUGAGACGCGAAAGCGUGGGUAGCAAACAGGAUUAGAUACCCGAGUAGUCC